RNAcentral lists this ribosomal RNA (274 nucleotides) under uncultured bacterium. RNAcentral describes it as "partial 16S ribosomal RNA". It matches the Rfam family "Bacterial small subunit ribosomal RNA", at positions 523 to 796 of the family's 1533-position model. The record is from RNAcentral.
AUACGUAUGGGGCAAGCGUUGUUCGGAUUCAUUGGGCGUAAAGGGCACGCAGGCGGACCACUAAGUUGGAUGUAUAAUCGUCAGGCUCAACCUGAUAUCUGCAUCCAAAACUGGCGGUCUAGAGUCUCGGAGAGGAAAGUGGAAUUCUCGGUGUAGCGGUGGAAUGCGUAGAUAUCGAGAGGAACACCAAUGGCGAAGGCAGCUUUCUGGCCAUAGACUGACGCUCAGGUGCGAAAGCGUGGGGAGCAAACAGGAUUAGAAACCCCAGUAGUCC